RNAcentral lists this small RNA (107 nucleotides) under Marmota monax (woodchuck). The record is from RNAcentral. Lineage: Eukaryota; Metazoa; Chordata; Mammalia; Rodentia; Sciuridae.
GCUGGGUGCAGUGGUGCAUGCCUGUAAUCCCAGUGGCUCAGGAGGCAGAGGCAGGAGUAUUGUGAGUUGAAAGCCAGCCUCAGCAACUCAGCUAGGCCCUGUCUCUA